Molecule: ribosomal RNA, 288 nt
Filed under: Triticum aestivum (bread wheat)
Lineage: Eukaryota; Viridiplantae; Streptophyta; Magnoliopsida; Poales; Poaceae
Description: partial small subunit ribosomal RNA
Source: RNAcentral
AUGCGGGAGUGGGAGCGCCGCGCGGACGAGCAGCGCCGGGUCGUCGCGGAGCUGAUGCGCCUCAUCGGGAUGCCCGAGGUGUACGUUCCGGUGGAAUCGCUGAGAUCCAGGGAGGAGAGGAAGAGGAAACAGGGGACCGCGUCUUCAGAUCCUCCGGGUCCGGUCACAGUGGCUUCAACAUUACUAGAGGAAGAAUCUGGACCAUGCCUCUCCGAUCAGGAACUGCUGGCGACGCCGGCAAGGGAAACGACCGCCGCCGCAGCAGCGACGGAAAGCAGCAGCGCUUGA